This 433-nucleotide ribosomal RNA is filed under the name uncultured bacterium. Its description in RNAcentral is "partial 16S ribosomal RNA". It matches the Rfam family "Bacterial small subunit ribosomal RNA", at positions 29 to 507 of the family's 1533-position model. The record is from RNAcentral.
AACGAACGCUGGCGGCAUGCCUAACACAUGCAAGUCGAACGAGACCUUCGGGUCUAGUGGCGCACGGGUGCGUAACGCGUGAGAACCUGCCCUUAGGUUCGGAAUAACUCCCCGAAAGGGGUGCUAAUACCGGGUAAUGUCUUCGGACCAAAGAUUUAUCGCCUUUGGAUGGGCCCGCGUUGGAUUAGCUAGUUGGUAGGGUAAAAGCCUACCAAGGCGACGAUCCAUAGCUGGUCUGAGAGGAUGAUCAGCCACACUGGGACUGAGACACGGCCCAGACUCCUACGGGAGGCAGCAGUGGGGAAUAUUGGACAAUGGGCGAAAGCCUGAUCCAGCAAUGCCGCGUGAGUGAUGAAGGCCUUAGGGUUGUAAAGCUCUUUUACCCGGGAUGAUAAUGACAGUACCGAGAGAAUAAGCUCCGGCUAACUCCGUG